UCCUCGUUAACCAAGGCAGUCUCGUAUGAAAAAUCCAACAUACGACAAGGGUUGCGCUCGUUGCGGGACUUAACCCAACAUUUCACAACACGAGCUGACGACGACCAUGCAUCACCUGUCAUCGGGCUCCCGAAGGCACAGUCUGAUUUCUCAGACCUUCCCGAGAUGUCAAGCCCUGGUAAGGUUCCUCGCUUAUCGUCGAAUUAAACCACACGCUCCACCGCUUGUGCGGGUCCCCGUCAAUUCCUUUGAGUUUUAGCCUUGCGGCCGUACUCCCCAGGCGGGGUACUUAACGCGUUAGCUUCGACACCCAGGGGGUCUAUUCCCCGAAUGCCUAGUACCCAUCGUUUACGGCGUGGACUA
This 363-nucleotide unclassified non-coding RNA is filed under the name uncultured bacterium. Its description in RNAcentral is "contains 16S-23S intergenic spacer region". The record is from RNAcentral.